RNAcentral lists this ribosomal RNA (498 nucleotides) under uncultured bacterium. RNAcentral's name for it is "bacterial SSU rRNA". It matches the Rfam family "Bacterial small subunit ribosomal RNA", at positions 10 to 507 of the family's 1533-position model. The record is from RNAcentral.
AGUUUGAUCAUGGCUCAGGAUUAACGCUGGCGGUAUGCCUAACACAUGCAAGUCGAACGGAAUACUCGAAAAGAGAAUCUCACACUAGUGAGAGGUUCUCCAACCGAGUAUUUAGUGGCGGACGGGUGAGUAACACGUUGGAACCUGCCCCGAAGUGGGGAAUAACUGCUCGAAAGAGUAGCUAAUACCCCAUAGUAUCCGGUUUAUCCGGAUUAAAGAUUUAUCGCUUCGGGAGGGGCCUGCGUCUGAUUAGCUUGUUGGUGGGGUAAAAGCUCACCAAGGCGACGAUCAGUAGCUGGUUCGAGAGGAUGACCAGCCACACUGGGACUGAGAUACGGCCCAGACUCCUACGGGAGGCAGCAGUGAGGAAUCUUCCACAAUGGACGAAAGUCUGAUGGAGCAAUACCGCGUGCAGGACGACGCUUUUCGGAGUGUAAACUGCUUUUGUCGUCGAAGAUUAUGACUGUAGACGAAGAAUAAGGACCGGCUAACUACGUG